UAAGGAAUAUUGGUCAAUGGACGCAAGUCUGAACCAGCCAUGCCGCGUGAAGGAUGAAGGUCCUCUGGAUUGUAAACUUCUUUUAUCUGGGACGAAAACGGGAUUUUUAUCUCAAUUGACGGUACCAGAGGAAUAAGCACCGGCUAACUCCGUGCCAGCAGCCGCGGUAAUACGGAGGGUGCAAGCGUUAUCCGGAUUUAUUGGGUUUAAAGGGUCCGUAGGCGGACUUAUAAGUCAGUGGUGAAAGCCUGUCGCUUAACGAUAGAACUGCCAUUGAUACUGUAAGUCUUGAGUAUAUUUGAGGUAGCUGGAAUAAGUAGUGUAGCGGUGAAAUGCAUAGAUAUUACUUAGAACACCAAUUGCGAAGGCAGGUUACCAAGAUAUAACUGACGCUGAGGGACGAAAGCGUGGGGAGCGAACA
This 421-nucleotide ribosomal RNA is filed under the name uncultured bacterium. Its description in RNAcentral is "bacterial SSU rRNA". It matches the Rfam family "Bacterial small subunit ribosomal RNA", at positions 355 to 774 of the family's 1533-position model. The record is from RNAcentral.